AAAGAAACAAUUAUAUUAAAGCUUCUAACUUUAAAAAGAGCACAAGUUCAUGUUUCUUAUCAA
RNAcentral lists this transfer RNA (63 nucleotides) under Platerodrilus sp. UPOL 000586. RNAcentral describes it as "partial tRNA-Ser". Lineage: Eukaryota; Metazoa; Arthropoda; Insecta; Coleoptera; Lycidae. The record is from RNAcentral.